AAAUAUCUGAAAAAAAUAUCAUGUUUAUACUGAACAUGUACAGACUUUUUUUCUUGUCAUUCUCUAAACAAUAUAGUAUAACAACUAUUUGUUUAGUAUUUAUAUUAUAGUAGGUUUUGUAAGUAAUCUAGAUAUAAUCUAAAGGAUUUAGGAGGAUGUGCAUAGAUUAUAUGCAAACAUUACACUUUUUAUAUAAUGAGUCUGAGCAUCCAUAGAUUUCCGUAUGGAGGUUCAUGGGGUUGUCCUGGAACUAAUCCUCCAUGGAUACCAAGGAAUAACUACUAAUUGGUAUUAGUAAUUAUAUCUCAUGAUUUUAGGGUAUGGGGAUAACUUAUAAACAUCUUACGGUCUUCAUUAUUAUUCCUUUUGGAAUGUUGACUUAUUUUAAAUGUGUUUCUUAAUUUUCAAAUAAAUGUGGUUUUUCCACUUAGUUUUUGUUAUUGAUUUGCAAGUUAAGUGCAUUGUGGCAAUGAACGCAGUUUUGAUUAUAUCAGUAAUUCUAAAUUUGUUGAAACUUGCUUCACAGCCAAACAUGUGAUUAAUGUACGCUUGAGAAGUACCUGUUUUCUGAGAUUACUGGGUGUGCGGUUCUAUAUAUGGUCCUUAGUCAGCAGACCAAUGCUACUCACAGAGAAGAAAAAUGGAAGCACACAAACCUGGGAAGACUCACUCACUGCCGAAUGGAUGAUGGACCAGGGAAAAAGCAGACCUGCAGACCCGCCAUAGGUUCAUUACCAUUGCCUUUAUUUAUAUGGAGUUGAAGAGGAAUGAUGAAGAGUGAACUUGAGGAGCCAUCAUGAAUAGAAAUAUUUUUUUCCCUCUACAUAUCCCUAAUAGAGUUGAAAUGAAAAAUUGGUUCAAGGAAGUGUUUCACACUGACUGCUCAGCGGGUCCUUCAGUUCAAAUAUUCAUGAACAGCGUUCUGUCAUCACCCACAGCAUAUUGAACCAUCUUGAGUAUUUCCUGUAUCACGUUUUUGUUAGAAAAGAAAGGCUCUUGCUUUCUUUUCUGAGACCCCAUGUUCCUACCUCACUCAUAUCUUAAUUGUCUUACAUUUUUAGAGGGACUUUUUUCCAUUCCCCUACAACAUUCCAUUGCUGACAGAAAGGCUGACAAGGCAACUAACACAGUGGCUAUUACUUUGAGCAGUGUCUAAACAAUAUUAUUUUGCUGCCCUUCUGCUUUCUGUGAAAUUAUAGGGUGCUUCCUUUUGUGUACAACAAUAGAGCUCAGCUCCCACACCAGGGGUCCUGAACAGAUUCCAUACCAACCUCCUGAGCUUUAGUAUUAAUGUAAUUAUCAGCUGGAGACAUCAACUCAGGCACUCACAUUGUCACUAUAUUGGUUCAUCUUCAUGCCAGAGAAGGUAGAAUGGUGUUAUAAAGC
This 1386-nucleotide long non-coding RNA is filed under the name Callithrix jacchus (white-tufted-ear marmoset). RNAcentral describes it as "lncRNA (ENSCJAG00000087041.1)". Lineage: Eukaryota; Metazoa; Chordata; Mammalia; Primates; Cebidae. The record is from RNAcentral.